GCCAAUCUAUCUAUCGCUGCCAACCUAUCUAUCACUGCCAAUUUAUCUACCACUGUCAAUCUAUCUAUUGCUGCUAAUCUAUCGCUGCUGUCAAUCUAUCUAUCACUGCUAAUCUAUCUAUUGCUGCUAAUCUAUCACUGCUGCCAAUCUAUCCCUCACUGCUAAGCUAUCCCUUGCUGCUAAGCUAUCACUGUCAAUCUAUUGCUGCUAAUCUAUCGCUGCCAACCUAUCUACCGCGGCGAAUCUAUCUAUCACUGUCAAUUUAUCUACCACUGCCAAUCUAUCUAUCACUGCUAAUCUAUCGCUGCUAAUCUAUCACUGCUAAUCUAUCACUGCUAAUCUAUCACUGCCAAUCUAUCUAUCGCUGCCAAUUUAUCUACCACUGCCAAUCUAUCUAUCAAGGCUAAUCUAUUGCUGCUAAUCUAUCACUGCUAAUCUAUCGCUGCUAAUCUAUCACUGCUAAUCUAUCACUGCCAACCUAUCUACCGCGGUGAAUCUAUCUAUCACUAUCAUUACUAGUUCAAAAUAGAACUAGAGCAUAAAGUCACUAAACUUCUUUUGAUAGAUAAUGAUUUUUGGUAACACUCUGUAAUGCACUCGUUUAUUAUUUCCUUAUUAUCUUCGCUUAUUCUUACCUCUUUCCAUUAUACUCUCACUACCACUAUUUCUAUAUGUAUAUAUAUAUCAAUGUAUGU
Molecule: small RNA, 695 nt
Filed under: Histoplasma ohiense
Lineage: Eukaryota; Fungi; Ascomycota; Eurotiomycetes; Onygenales; Ajellomycetaceae
Description: hypothetical lncRNA
Source: RNAcentral